This 336-nucleotide unclassified non-coding RNA is filed under the name soil metagenome. RNAcentral describes it as "partial contains 5.8S ribosomal RNA, internal transcribed spacer 2, and large subunit ribosomal RNA". The stretch from base 1 to 120 matches the Rfam family "5.8S ribosomal RNA", at positions 35 to 154 of the family's 154-position model. The record is from RNAcentral.
GAUGAAGAACGCAGCGAAAUGCGAUAAGUAAUGUGAAUUGCAGUAUUCAGUGAAUCAUCGAAUCUUUGAACGCACAUUGCGCCCGCCAGUAUUCUGGCGGGCAUGCCUGUUCGAGCGUCAUUUCAACCAUCAAGCCCCAGGCUUGUGUUGGGGACCUGCGGCUGCCGCAGGCCCUGAAAACCAGUGGCGGGCUCGCUGUCACACCGGGCGUAGUAGAUUUUAUCUCGCUCAGGGCGUGCUGCGGGUUCCGGCCGUUAAAAAGCCUUUUUUACCCAAGGUUGACCUCGGAUCAGGUAGGAAUACCCGCUGAACUUAAGCAUAUCAAUAAGCGGAGGA